UUUUUAGUCUUGAUUAGCCCGCCACAGAUUACCCUGAAGCGGUUCAGACAAAACAACAAGUGGCGAUAUUUCCUCAUUCAAACUUUCUUCAUUGAUUUGUCUGAGGAGUCAGAGAGACUGAGGGGAUUACAGUUACCCUUUAAUGUCAGUCUGUUUCAAAAGCAGAUCAAAGUUCCUCACAGGAGCUUUAAAUGAGGUGAAAAUGUCACCAAACAUUGACUUUUCUGUUUCUUUGACUCUCAGGGAAACAGAUUGAUUUGGGUAUUUAUUGUUUGGGCUAGUGAACAAAUGUUGCACACUUUACACAAAGCAUAGAAGGAGAUGAACACGUAUUUCAGACAGCACUAAGGCAAGUCCUCUUUAUAGCAGCAGGUGGGUUUGGACACAGAUUGAAUAAUCAGUACAAACGUUUUAAAUGAGGAGACAGUUUGAAUAAAAACAUGUUUCUGCUGCAGAUUGUUUAAGCUCUGAGUUCUAAAGUGUCAUUAUGACAGAACAGAGGUGUGGGUUCUACAUCGCUUACAUCAUAAAGAGGCAGAGAUCAGAUAAAUAGGAGUUUGGUAGAUUUACUCUGAGUGAGGAGAGAUUUCUCUGAGAGGAGAGCUGUUUUUUGUUGUUGAAGAGAGAGAUUUUUUCUGAGUUUGCAAAGAUUCAAACUUUAAGGUUUGUUUUCAGUCUUUAAACCUGAAACUGAGAACUAACUGGAGAAAAGUCAGCUGUGAGGGGUGCUUCAGUAAGGUGUCCAGGUGCCAGAACCUCAAAACCAAAGAGGCCGUCAAGAUCCUGAAAAAGGAUCCUGGAUACUGAGAAAGAGGACUCUCAGACUUCUUUUGAUUCUUACAACAUAUCAAUAGAUUCAUCUGCUCAUCACUAUGUAUUACACACUCCAUUAUACUGCUCCAUAAGAAGGUCCACGGUAUACACACUGUUGUUCUGUCUCCUCAGGUGUCCAUCUUAAAGGUCAUCUCAGUCCUCAAUCCAGAUGCCACCGAUUUGGUGAAGUUUUUCGAGCAGUUCGAUCACAUGGGACGAACCUGCCUCGCAUUUGAGAUGCUAGACACAAACCUCUAUGACCUGCUCUCACACCGGGAUUGGGAAUCAAUGUUCCUGAAUGAGAUCAGACCAAUUGCAAAGCAGGGAGUUAAAAUUGUUUUACAGAGCCAAUCUUCUGCUGUACAUAUCUCCCACAGAUCAACGCAGACUGUACACAGCCAAGAAUAUAAAAGUGAACCUUUCUGUGUGGUCUCUGCAGCUCUUUGUUACAUUGGAUGCACUGAAGACUCUUGGCAUCUUGCAUACUGAUAUAAAACCAGAUAACAUCAUGGUUAUCAACGAGCUGGACCUGAACUUUACCUAGCUUUAGACUCCUGAGGAAUACACAGCUGUACCUGCCUUGGGACUACGGAUGAAAUUUAGCAUCUGUGCUAAAUAUGGCACAUUUACAUUGAUGUUCAAUGCAUUCAUGUCGAUCAAAAUGCAUUAUUAAUAUAUGCAUUAAUAAUGAUUGUGGACUCUAAGGGUUGCUUAAUCAUUAGUAUCACCGCACAGUGUUUUUGGUGUCAUGGUGAGAUGGUCCCUCUCCAUCUAAGUGUCUUAGGUCUCUCUCUCCUUCUC
This is a long non-coding RNA of Notolabrus celidotus (New Zealand spotty), 1614 nucleotides long. RefSeq lists it as uncharacterized. Lineage: Eukaryota; Metazoa; Chordata; Actinopteri; Labriformes; Labridae. The record is from RefSeq and is a predicted model, not a curated record. The transcript has 3 exons.